GCCUACGGGAGGCAGCAGUGGGGAAUAUUGGACAAUGGGCGCAAGCCUGAUCCAGCCAUGCCGCGUGAGUGAUGAAGGCCUUCGGGUUGUAAAGCUCUUUCGCACACGACGAUGAUGACGGUAGUGUGAGAAGAAGCCCCGGCUAACUUCGUGCCAGCAGCCGCGGUAAUACGAAGGGGGCUAGCGUUGUUCGGAAUUACUGGGCGUAAAGGGCGCGUAGGCGGCUUAUCAAGUCAGGCGUGAAAGCCCCGGGCUUAACCUGGGAACUGCGCUUGAGACUGGUAGGCUAGAGUACCGGAGAGGUGGGUGGAAUUCCCAGUGUAGAGGUGAAAUUCGUAGAUAUUGGGAAGAACACCGGUGGCGAAGGCGGCUUCCUGGACCAAUACUGACGCUGAGGCGCGAAGGCGUGGGGAGCAAACAGGAUUAGAUACCCCAGUAGUC
RNAcentral lists this ribosomal RNA (441 nucleotides) under uncultured Rhodospirillaceae bacterium. RNAcentral's name for it is "bacterial SSU rRNA". It matches the Rfam family "Bacterial small subunit ribosomal RNA", at positions 337 to 795 of the family's 1533-position model. Lineage: Bacteria; Pseudomonadati; Pseudomonadota; Alphaproteobacteria; Rhodospirillales; Rhodospirillaceae. The record is from RNAcentral.